CUCACUCCACGGCCCUAAACCUUAAAUCCACCGCCUCUAAAGGCCGGACUCUGGUGCGAAUCUUUCGAAGCCCUAAGUCGGAGAUUUGUCUUCGAAUCUGGUGUUGAGUUCGGGUUCUUCACAAAUCACUCUUUUGAUUUGGGGUUUUGACUAACUGGAGAUUCUGAUAAAGGUUGACGGAAGAUUUCAGUGGAUUGUUGUUGGACGAGAACCCGGUGGCACAAGCUAUCAAGCUACUGAUAGAAACGAAACAUGUUCUAAUAUCAAAUUUAUCAGCUAUCGGAAAUGGAACGCCUGAAGAAUUAGCAAAACAGUUCUGGUAUUCGUUUGUUUUGUUCUCGGUGAAAACAUUGAGUGAGAAGAGUUCUGAUAAUUCACAAAUUGACAGCUGCUAAGCUGAAUUGCUUCCAGCAUUGUGGAUUUCUUUAAGGAGCUUCCACAGUUUAUUGUUAAGGCCGGGCCAAUUUUAAGUAAUCUGUAUUAAUGAAGACCUCCUUAUUAGCUAGUCUCUUGUUUGCAUUUGUUUUCUUCUGCUAGUGUUUUCAUCUUUGACUCGAAUAUAUUAAUUACUUCUUCUAUUUCUAAUUAUCUGUUAACAUGGCUGUUUCUCACAAGAUAUAUGGAAUUCUUUUCAGGUACAUCAUGGAGGUUCUGGGACAGCUGCUGCUGGUUUGA
Long non-coding RNA from Rosa rugosa (rugosa rose), 675 nucleotides. RefSeq lists it as uncharacterized. NCBI's taxonomy places the organism in Eukaryota, Viridiplantae, Streptophyta, Magnoliopsida, Rosales, Rosaceae. The record is from RefSeq and is a predicted model, not a curated record. The transcript is spliced from 5 exons.